AAUUUUAAGAACUUUACUUAAUUUUUUACGUUAAUAUUUAAUGAAAAUUAAAAAAUUCAUGAUUUGUAAGUAUUAAGUAACAUAGCGAACAAAGGCGAAAUAAUUGAAGAUGGUUUUUCAUAUUAUGUUGAAAAAACGAUAAAUGAUAAGAAAUAUGUUUACUGUAAAAAAAGAAAGUCAAAAAAUUGUCCUGUCCGGGGUACAAAAACUCUGGAUGAGCCCAUCAAAUUCACAGUGAGCACGCACCGACAUGCAUUGGAUUUUUAUAGCGAUGAUGUAAAACGUUUUCGGCGUGAAUUAAUAGCUGCUGCUGAGAAGAACUUGUAUCCAAUUAACGAAAUUUAUGCGACAAUUGCUAAAUCAUAUGUAUCUUGAAGAUGUUACAAUUCAAUUGCCAUAUGCAGUUAUUAGUACUGUGAUGCGUCAACAUCAAAAGGAAGCUGCAGACGAUUUAACGGAGUUACUGACUUACAAGGAUUUUGUA
Cotesia glomerata is the source of this 484-nucleotide long non-coding RNA. RefSeq lists it as uncharacterized. The transcript has 3 exons. The record is from RefSeq and is a predicted model, not a curated record. Lineage: Eukaryota; Metazoa; Arthropoda; Insecta; Hymenoptera; Braconidae.